ACCCUCACGCUCACUUACUCAUGAAGACAUCGUGGCUCUGAAUCAACAGGCACUGCAGGACUGAAAAUCUGCUCAACACCAUAAGAAGAGAGGAGAUCAUCCACACUUAGGCUAACACUCCUUGAGAGGACCCUCACGCUCACUUACUCAUGAAGACAUCGUGGCUCUGAAUCAACAGGCACUGCAGGACUGAAAAUCUGCUCAACACCACAAGAAGAGAGGAGAUCAUCCACACUUAGGCUAACACUCCUUGAGAGGACCCUCACGCUCACUUACUCAUGAAGACAUCGUGG
Molecule: long non-coding RNA, 293 nt
Organism: Lineus longissimus
Lineage: Eukaryota; Metazoa; Nemertea; Pilidiophora; Heteronemertea; Lineidae
Exons: 3
Source: RefSeq, a predicted model, not a curated record